GCAUUGCUGAGGAGUCCCACAAUAGGACGAAACGGCUGACCAAUGC
This 46-nucleotide non-coding RNA is filed under the name Schistosoma mattheei. Lineage: Eukaryota; Metazoa; Platyhelminthes; Trematoda; Strigeidida; Schistosomatidae. The record is from RNAcentral.